Molecule: ribosomal RNA, 468 nt
Filed under: uncultured bacterium
Lineage: Bacteria
Description: partial 16S ribosomal RNA
Rfam family: Bacterial small subunit ribosomal RNA
Source: RNAcentral
GACGAACGCUGGCGGCGUGCUUAACACAUGCAAGUCGAACGGAAAGGCCCUGCUUUUGUGGGGUGCUCGAGUGGCGAACGGGUGAGUAACACGUGAGUAACCUGCCCUUGACUUUGGGAUAACUUCAGGAAACUGGGGCUAAUACCGGAUAGGAACUCCUGCUGCAUGGUGGGGGUUGGAAAGUUUCGGCAGUUGGGGAUGGACUCGCGGCUUAUCAGCUUGUUGGUGGGGUAGUGGCUUACCAAGGCUUUGACGGGUAGCCGGCCUGAGAGGGUGACCGGCCACAUUGGGACUGAGAUACGGCCCAGACUCCUACGGGAGGCAGCAGUGGGGAAUAUUGCACAAUGGGCGGAAGCCUGAUGCAGCAACGCCGCGUGCGGGAUGACGGCCUUCGGGUUGUAAACCGCUUUCGCCUGUGACGAAGCGUGAGUGACGGUAAUGGGUAAAGAAGCACCGGCUAACUACGUG